UCAGUCGACUCCUACGGGGAGGCAGCAGUGGGGGAAUAUUGCACAAUGGGCGCAAGCCUGAUGCAGCCAUGCCGCGUGUAUGAAGAAGGACCUUCGGGUUGUAAAGUACUUUCAGCAGUGAGGAAGGCAGGUACGUUAAUAGCGUGCUUGUUUGACGUUAGCUGCAGAAGAAGCACCGGCUAACUCCGUGCCAGCAGCCGCGGUAAUACGGAGGGUGCGAGCGUUAAUCGGAAUUACUGGGCGUAAAGCGCAUGCAGGUGGUUUGUUAAGUCAGAUGUGAAAGCCCGGGGCUCAACCUCGGAAUUGCAUUUGAAACUAGGCAGACUAGAGUACUGUAGAGGGGGGUAGGAAUUUCAGGUGUAGCGGUGAAAUGCGUAGAGAUCUGAAGGAAUACCGGUGGCGAAGGCGGCCCCCUGGACAGAUACUGACACUCAGAUGCGAAAGCGUGGGGAGCAAACAGGAUUAGAUACCCUGGUAG
RNAcentral lists this ribosomal RNA (478 nucleotides) under uncultured bacterium. RNAcentral describes it as "bacterial SSU rRNA". It matches the Rfam family "Bacterial small subunit ribosomal RNA", at positions 328 to 793 of the family's 1533-position model. The record is from RNAcentral.